GUCCACGCCCUAAACGAUGUCUACUAGUUGUCGGGUCUUAAUUGACUUGGUAACGCAGCUAACGCGUGAAGUAGACCGCCUGGGGAGUACGGUCGCAAGAUUAAACUCAAAGGAAUUGACGGGACCCGCACAAGCGGUGGAUGAUGUGGAUUAAUUCGAUGCAACGCGAAACCUUACCUACCCUUGACAUGGAUGGAAUCCCGGAGAGAUUUGGGAGUGCCCGAAAGGGAACCAUUACACAGGUGCUGCAUGGCUGUCGU
RNAcentral lists this ribosomal RNA (260 nucleotides) under uncultured bacterium. RNAcentral describes it as "partial 16S ribosomal RNA". It matches the Rfam family "Bacterial small subunit ribosomal RNA", at positions 793 to 1055 of the family's 1533-position model. The record is from RNAcentral.